This 406-nucleotide ribosomal RNA is filed under the name uncultured bacterium. RNAcentral's name for it is "partial 16S ribosomal RNA". It matches the Rfam family "Bacterial small subunit ribosomal RNA", at positions 30 to 526 of the family's 1533-position model. The record is from RNAcentral.
AUUGAACGCUGGCGGCAGGCGUAACACAUGCAAGUCGAGCGAGCGGCGGACGGGUGAGUAAUGUCUGGGAAACUGCCUGAUGGAGGGGGAUAACUACUGGAAACGGUAGCUAAUACCGCAUACCAUCGGAUGUGCCCAGAUGGGAUUAGCUAGUAGGUGGGGUAACGGCUCACCUAGGCGACGAUCCCUAGCUGGUCUGAGAGGAUGACCAGCCACACUGGAACUGAGCCACGGUCCAGACUCCUACGGUAGGCAGCAGUGGGGAAUAUUGCACAAUGGGCGCAAGCCUGAUGCAGCCAUGCCGCGUGUAUGAAGAAGGCCUUCGGGUUGUAAAGUACUUUCAGCGGUGAGGCGUUACCCGCAGAAGAAGCACCGGCUAACUCCGUGCCAGCCGCCGCGGUAAUAC